AGUGAACGCUGGCGGUAGGCCUAACACAUGCAAGUCGAACGGCAGCACAGUAAGAGCUUGCUCUUACGGGUGGCGAGUGGCGGACGGGUGAGGAAUACAUCGGAAUCUACUUUUUCGUGGGGGAUAACGUAGGGAAACUUACGCUAAUACCGCAUACGACCUACGGGUGAAAGCAGGGGAUCUUCGGACCUUGCGCGAUUGAAUGAGCCGAUGUCGGAUUAGCUAGUUGGCGGGGUAAAGGCCCACCAAGGCGACGAUCCGUAGCUGGUCUGAGAGGAUGAUCGGCCACACUGAAACUGAGACACGGUCCAGACUCCUACGGGAGGCAGCAGUGGGGAAUAUUGGACAAUGGGCGCAAGCCUGAUCCAGCCAUACCGCGUGGGUGAAGAAGGCCUUCGGGUUGUAAAGCCCUUUUGUUGGGAAAGAAAAGCAGCAGGUUAAUACCCCGCUGUUCUGACGGUACCCAAAGAAUAAGCACCGGCUAACUUCGU
Molecule: ribosomal RNA, 491 nt
Filed under: uncultured bacterium
Lineage: Bacteria
Description: partial 16S ribosomal RNA
Rfam family: Bacterial small subunit ribosomal RNA
Source: RNAcentral